This 439-nucleotide long non-coding RNA is filed under the name Astyanax mexicanus (Mexican tetra). RNAcentral's name for it is "lncRNA (ENSAMXG00005010460.1)". Lineage: Eukaryota; Metazoa; Chordata; Actinopteri; Characiformes; Acestrorhamphidae. The record is from RNAcentral.
AUAAGAGCCACACAGUGAGAUCUGCUGCAGGUGGAGACUGUCCGACCUUACUUCUCUACACCGCCCCUCCCCCUCCCCCGCGCCUACUGAGGAGGAGCUUGCGCGAGCGCACCUCAUUCGGCUCUCCCACACUCUGAGGAGAUUUACACCACUUGACAAACCUGUGAGCUCUACAGCAUCUUCUACAACGCACUGACCCACUCUUCCCUAGCACCUCACCCGAUUGACCAACGCUCCCCUAACACCACGCCUGACCAACGCUCCUAUAACACCACGCCUGACCAACGCUCCCCUAACACACACACAUUGACCCACGCUCUCCUAACACCACGCCUGACCAACGCUCCCCAAACACACACACAUUGACGCCUGACCCACAUCACAAAUUGACCCACGCUCCCCAAACAUCACGAAUUGACCCACGCUCCCCAAACAUCAC